CCAAGGAUAGUGUAAAGUUUCAAAUUGAAAAAGACACGGCAAGAACUGUAUAGGGUCGCCGACAAUCUAGAACAGUAAGAGCAGGCAUAGGCUAGAGCAGGUACGUUACUCAAAAAUGUGGAUUAGAACAACGUUUUUACGAGAUAAACAAUUCCUUGUCACUCCCUUCGUAACUCGUUUACUACUAGUAAAUGUUGAAUUGCAAGAGCUCUUAUUUGGGCAUGACAACUUUCUGUUUUGUAAAGCUGAUGGCUUACACUACGA
Molecule: non-coding RNA, 264 nt
Organism: Paramuricea clavata
Lineage: Eukaryota; Metazoa; Cnidaria; Anthozoa; Malacalcyonacea; Plexauridae
Source: the annotation of a GenBank genome assembly